Molecule: ribosomal RNA, 276 nt
Filed under: uncultured bacterium
Lineage: Bacteria
Description: partial small subunit ribosomal RNA
Rfam family: Bacterial small subunit ribosomal RNA
Source: RNAcentral
AGAACGAACGCUGGCGGCGUGCCUAACACAUGCAAGUCGAGCGAGAAAGGGACUUCGGUCCUGAGUAAAGCGGCGCACGGGUGCGUAACACGUGGGUAAUCUUCCUCCGGGUUGGGAAUAACUCUUCGAAAGGAGAGCUAAUACCGAAUAAGCCCACGAUCUCCUUGGAGAUUGAGGGAAAAGGUGGCCUCUGCAUGCAAGCUAUCACCUGGAGAUGAGCCCGCGGCCCAUCAUGCUAGUUGGCGGGGUAACGGCCCACCAAGGCGACGACGGGUA